Rattus norvegicus (Norway rat) is the source of this 2990-nucleotide non-coding RNA. NCBI's taxonomy places the organism in Eukaryota, Metazoa, Chordata, Mammalia, Rodentia, Muridae. The record is from RefSeq and is a predicted model, not a curated record.
CUUCCUGCUGCCUUUGCAUCCAGACACAAAGCUCUCAGCUCCUUCUCCAGCACUGUGUCUGCCUGUGUUCCACCAUGCUUUCUGCUGUGAUGAUGAUGGACUGAACCUGAAACUGUGAGAAGAUGGAGAGCUGGUAGGAAAAUCAUCUUGCACGCAGCCCUCGAGGGUGGGUAACCGGAAGUGCUUCUUUCCUCAUGAGAGUCAUCCCUGGCUGGGCUGAAGAAGCAGGAGCUGGUGACGAUGGAAAGUAGGAUGCAGCAAGAAAUUAAUUCCAGAUGGGCAAAAGGAGAGACAGACAAAAGAAUGAUCCUUUUAUUUGAAAGAAAUUUACAUCUCCCAAAGGUGCAGAAUUCUGUGAGUCCAACAUGUUUUUUUUGAUGGACAGUUAGGAUGGGACUGGAAAUUUUUAUUUCAUAUGUAAAACGUAAUGGUUCUCUUCACGUUUGCUGGCUUUUCACGAGCCUGUUUCCAAGGCUAAUGCUUAAAUGGCCCGAUGCAGUCAGCCCUAACAAUUUUAUUUUUGGGAAGCCAACUUGGAGAAGACAAGAAGUGUGGAACUUGCCUUCCCCCUCAGGCAAACUGGUUAUUUUGAGACCUCUCUUCCUAGGGAGAGGAAUGGGAUUUCCAGCUGUGUGCUCCUGGCACUUCCUUGAGCCUUCUGUAAACAGGGAGCCAGGCUUCCUCUUCAACAGCAACUCAGGAGGGGCCGAGUGACACCCUGCACCAUGCAGCGCCAGGCCCUGUGCUCUCUGCUCUGCACCUAAGAGCUACUUGGGAUAUAUGCAAAUGAGCACCUUUCUGGGUGCUGGGUAGAGUGGUGGGUGCUGACUCUUUGUUCUGCCAGAGGAAUUUUGUUUUGUUUCAGUGACAGGGCUCACGUGCACCCAAGGCCUUGAACCUACGAAGCUCUACAAGAGGCCAGUGCUCCUGUUUUGUAGGUAUGGCCUAAAUGAAACUUCCUCUUGCCUGGUCCCUCCAAGCCAUCUCUAUCUGUCCUAACAGAAGACACGCAGAGAACUCUUUUAAGUUUUGUUGCUAUUGUUCAUUUUGCUUUUCUGCUGCAGGGUCUUGCUAUGUAGCCCUGGCUGGUCUGGAACCUGCUAUAUAGAGUGGCCUCUAACUCUGAGGCCCACCUUCCACUGCCUCCCUAGUGUUGAAAUUAAAUGUAUGUGCCAUAUGCCUAGCUAUUGCAUAUUGUCUGGAAGUAACGAUAAUAAAUGAAGCUUCUGGCUGAACCAUGGCUAUCCAACAAGAACCCUGAGCACUAUGGGAAGAGUCCAGCUCUAGGUACAGUCUGAAUCAUCUAUACAAGCUUCCAAUGAAAGCUGCUAGCCACUAGAAAGGCCUUGCUGGUAUAGGCUCAAUGGUACAGCUGCAGCCUUGGCUAGACAGUCAGAGAAGCACACAUUCAUAAAAAUGGAAGUCCUUUCUCUUUUCAAUGCAAGGAGUGACAGCACUCAACAGCUAGCCUUCUCUGUCUGUGGGUCACACAAGUGUGGUUUCAACCAAAGGCAGUAACGAUGUUUGGGAGGUGGGGGAGGGCCAGUCCUGUCUGAACACAUAAGACUAGUUUCUCAACUGUGAUUAGUCCCUAAGCAGCCCAGUGUAAAAACUAUUAUUUCGAGGUAUGGAAGUGCACACCUGUAAUGUCAGUAAUAGCAAAUCCAGCUUGGGUUAUGAGUUCAAGGUCAGCCUGGGCCACAUAGUUAGACUGUCUUAAAACAAAACCUGUUUCAAAAGGUAUAAACAACAAAUCUACCCAAAACCACCCAACUAUUUAUCUUGUGUUUACAUUAUAUGAGGCCCUAUACAGAGUCCGGAGGUAUUCAGAGUCAACUAAAGGAUGUGCUCAGACUAUUUACAUGCACUGUGCCAUUUUAUAGGAGACGAGAGUGUCUGCAUGGAGUGUGUGUGGUCCUAGAAGCGGUCUCCCGUGGAUACUGACAGACAGCUGUAAUCACCUGUGCAGCUUCUAAACAUAUACACAGCAGGAUUCUCUGCAGACUCCCAGUUAAGUCUCUAGACAUCUGCAUUUUUCAAAGGGCCCCAAGGGAGUCUAAUGCAUUCCCCAGGUGAGGAAGAGGCUGUCUGUACAGAACAUGCUGUAUUCGAUCCUCAUCAAGAAGACAUUUAACAUAACUCCUACUGACACCUAUCAGCUGGCUCCUAGGUGGUUUCUGACAGUGUAAUACAUCAAGGAAGUCACUUCUAUGCUGUGACCACUGACUGGGAGAAACAGUGGCUUGAUCUCUCAUUGCCACCACAGAGAUGGCCAGAAAACCAGCUUCUUGUGAAUGAGCAAAAACCACAAAUGUAGUAAGCUGUGUGAAUAUGGUGACAAUAGCCAGGUGUGGGAGGAGUCCACGGGCUUCCUCAGCUGCCCUGGGUGGGUGGCGGUGGCUGACUUGGCUGUGCUGUCUGGGGAUAGCUGCAUGCCUUCUUUUCAAUAGGGCAGGUCCAUAGGACAGCACAGGAGCCCCCAGCUCAGGUCCAGUGGGCUUUUGCACUUGUCUAGGUUUUGAUGCAUCUUGACCACAGGCUACACAUCUUUUCCUUGCCACUUGUUUUCUUUCCGUUUAGAAUUUAAAAAUGCUCAAUACAUGAGAGUUAUUCCUUCUAGCAAGGAUAGGCUAGAUGCUGAUGAAGAAAUGAGGCUCUAGGGCUGGUGUGUAGCCAAAAGAAGAAAGAAGAAAAGAGAAAAGAGAAGAGGCUCAGGGUCAGAGCUGAGCAACCUGAUAGCCAGAAAUGACCGGACAAGCCUCCUUGCUGUGGCAACAGUGCUCAAGAAGUGGGUCUGGGAUCUGGGAUCAAGUCAAGGGCCCAGAUGUUAAUGUUCUAACAGCUAACAAAUUUAGUACCAGAAUAAAAGCUGUCAGUAAAGGUGGUCAUGCUGAGGUUGUGGUCACGUGACAAAGCCUUGGUUUCAAGAGAGCCAAGAGAGCAGGGUGCCGUCCACACUGGUAAGGUGCCCAUUCCCUGGAAUGCAGUGG